Molecule: ribosomal RNA, 558 nt
Filed under: Vibrio alginolyticus
Lineage: Bacteria; Pseudomonadati; Pseudomonadota; Gammaproteobacteria; Vibrionales; Vibrionaceae
Description: bacterial SSU rRNA
Rfam family: Bacterial small subunit ribosomal RNA
Source: RNAcentral
CACAUGCAAGUCGAGCGGAAACGAGUUAUCUGAACCUUCGGGGAACGAUAACGGCGUCGAGCGGCGGACGGGUGAGUAAUGCCUAGGAAAUUGCCCUGAUGUGGGGGAUAACCAUUGGAAACGAUGGCUAAUACCGCAUGAUGCCUACGGGCCAAAGAGGGGGACCUUCGGGCCUCUCGCGUCAGGAUAUGCCUAGGUGGGAUUAGCUAGUUGGUGAGGUAAGGGCUCACCAAGGCAACGAUCCCUAGCUGGUCUGAGAGGAUGAUCAGCCACACUGGAACUGAGACACGGUCCAGACUCCUACGGGAGGCAGCAGUGGGGAAUAUUGCACAAUGGGCGCAAGCCUGAUGCAGCCAUGCCGCGUGUAUGAAGAAGGCCUUCGGGUUGUAAAGUACUUUCAGUCGUGAGGAAGGCGGCGUCGUUAAUAGCGGCGUUGUUUGACGUUAGCGACAGAAGAAGCACCGGCUAACUCCGUGCCAGCAGCCGCGGUAAUACGGAGGGUGCGAGCGUUAAUCGGAAUUACUGGGCGUAAAGCGCAUGCAGGUGGUUUGUUAAGUC